RNAcentral lists this ribosomal RNA (497 nucleotides) under uncultured bacterium. RNAcentral's name for it is "partial 16S ribosomal RNA". It matches the Rfam family "Bacterial small subunit ribosomal RNA", at positions 28 to 507 of the family's 1533-position model. The record is from RNAcentral.
GAUGAACGCUGGCGGCGUGCCUAAUACAUGCAAGUCGAGCGAACAGACGAGGAGCUUGCUCCACUGACGUUAGCGGCGGACGGGUGAGUAACACGUGGAUAACCUACCUAUAAGACUGGGAUAACUUCGGGAAACCGGAGCUAAUACCGGAUAAUAUAUUGAACCGCAUGGUUCAAUAGUGAAAGACGGUUUCGCUGUCACUUAUAGAUGGAUCCGCGCCGCAUUAGCUAGUUGGUAAGGUAACGGCUUACCAAGGCAACGAUGCGUAGCCGACCUGAGAGGGUGAUCGGCCACACUGGAACUGAGACACGGUCCAGACUCCUACGGGAGGCAGCAGUAGGGAAUCUUCCGCAAUGGGCGAAAGCCUGACGGAGCAACGCCGCGUGAGUGAUGAAGGUCUUCGGAUCGUAAAACUCUGUUAUUAGGGAAGAACAAAUGUGUAAGUAACUAUGCACGUCUUGACGGUACCUAAUCAGAAAGCCACGGCUAACUACGUG